UGAGCCUGCCUUUCCACUGGAUGGCACGCAGUGAGAGUAUUCACUGUAUUUUCAUAACACUUUGUAAAGACACCCACAAAAAAAGGCUUCCAGAAUUACUUCAGAAAAAUGACAAGAAUGAUGAGCUCAGUGUGUUUGAAGAACUGUGAGUGCAACAGGAGGUGGUAUCUGUGGAAAGAGAAGAGCUUUCUUAUGGUAUGGUUUGGAACAAGGGCA
This 216-nucleotide long non-coding RNA is filed under the name Fukomys damarensis (Damara mole-rat). RNAcentral describes it as "lncRNA (ENSFDAG00000030363.1)". Lineage: Eukaryota; Metazoa; Chordata; Mammalia; Rodentia; Bathyergidae. The record is from RNAcentral.